GACGAACGCUGGCGGCGUGCUUAACACAUGCAAGUCGAACGACGAAGCCCAGCUUGCUGGGUGGAUUAGUGGCGAACGGGUGAGUAACACGUGGGCAACCUGCCCCAAACUCUGGGAUAACUCCUCGAAAGAGGUGCUAAUACCGGAUACGAACUAGACAGACAUCUGUACUAGUUGGAAAGUUUUUCGGUUUGGGAUGGGCCCGCGGCCUAUCAGCUUGUUGGUGAGGUAACGGCUCACCAAGGCUACGACGGGUAACCGGCCUGAGAGGGCGAACGGUCACACUGGGACUGAGACACGGCCCAGAAUCCGACGGGAGGCAGCAGUGGGGAAUAUUGCGCAAUGGGCGAAAGCCUGACGCAGCGACGCCGCGUGAGGGAUGAAGGUCUUCGGAUCGUAAACCUCUUUCAGUAGGGACGAAGCGAAAGUGACGGUACCUAAAGAAGAAGCACCGGCUAACUACGUGCCAGCCGCCGCCGUAA
Molecule: ribosomal RNA, 482 nt
Filed under: uncultured bacterium
Lineage: Bacteria
Description: partial 16S ribosomal RNA
Rfam family: Bacterial small subunit ribosomal RNA
Source: RNAcentral